This 253-nucleotide ribosomal RNA is filed under the name uncultured bacterium. Its description in RNAcentral is "partial 16S ribosomal RNA". It matches the Rfam family "Bacterial small subunit ribosomal RNA", at positions 524 to 776 of the family's 1533-position model. The record is from RNAcentral.
UACGGAGGGUGCAAGCGUUAAUCGGAAUUACUGGGCGUAAAGCGUGCGCAGGCGGUUUGUUAAGUCUGCUGUGAAAUCCCCGAGCUCAACUUGGGAAUUGCAGUGGAUACUGGCAGGCUGGAGUAUGGUAGAGGAAGGUGGAAUUCCCGGUGUAGCAGUGAAAUGCGUGGAGAUCGGGAGGAACACCAGUGGCGAAGGCGGCCUUCUGGACCAAUACUGACGCUCAUGCACGAAAGCGUGGGGAGCAAACAGG